This 497-nucleotide ribosomal RNA is filed under the name uncultured bacterium. RNAcentral describes it as "partial 16S ribosomal RNA". It matches the Rfam family "Bacterial small subunit ribosomal RNA", at positions 28 to 507 of the family's 1533-position model. The record is from RNAcentral.
GAUGAACGCUGGCGGCGUGCCUAAUACAUGCAAGUCGAGCGAACAGACGAGGAGCUUGCUCCUCUGACGUUAGCGGCGGACGGGUGAGUCACACGUGUAUCACCUACCUAUAAGACUGGUAUAACUUCGGGACACCGGAGCUAAUACCGGAUAAUCUCUUGAUCCACAGUGUUCAAUAGUGAAAGACGGUUUUGCUGUCUCUUAUAGAUGGAUCCGCGCCGCAUUGGCUAGUUGGUAAGGUAACGGCUUACCAAGGCAACGAUGCGUAGCCGACCUGAGAGGGUGAUCGGCCACACUGGAACUGAGACACGGUCCAGACUCCUACGGGAGGCAGCAGUAGGGAAUCUUCCGCAAAGGGCGAAAGCCUGACGGAGCAACGCCGCGUGAGUGAUGAAGGUCUUUGGAUCGUAAAACUCUGUUAUUAGGGAAGAACAAAUGUGUAAGUAACUAUGCACGUCUUGACGGUACCGAAUCAGAAAGCCACGGCUAACUACGUG